This 704-nucleotide ribosomal RNA is filed under the name Andrena tegularis. Its description in RNAcentral is "partial large subunit ribosomal RNA". It matches the Rfam family "Eukaryotic large subunit ribosomal RNA", at positions 401 to 827 of the family's 3401-position model. Lineage: Eukaryota; Metazoa; Arthropoda; Insecta; Hymenoptera; Andrenidae. The record is from RNAcentral.
GAAACCGUUCAGGGGUAAACCUGAGAAACCCAAAAGAUCGAAUGGGGAGAUUCAUCGUCGACGAGGCUGGCUCCCGUUGGUGCGCGAUACUCCGGGUGGGACCUUCGCGGUCACCAUUAGCGAGGGUACACCACCGACGGCGAACGUUCCGGCCGCGUAGUCGUGCACUUCUCCCCUAGUAGAACGUCGCGACCCGUUGCGUGUCGGUCUACGGCCCGAGCGGUUGCCUGUUUCGUUGCUCCCAGAGCACGCGACAGACCCUCGGUCGCCCGGCCGGCUGCGCGACGGUACUCUCUGACGGUAUCGGGCCGCAACCAAUCCAUUCUCGAAUGUGUGUGCGUCAGGCCCGCCGCAAGCCCGGUCAGUUCUUACCCGGAGGCACGGACCUGGUGCCGUCCCCGGGCCUGGCCAGCUGUUAGCAGGCGGUGUCCUUGGACUGGCCAAGCUUCGAAUUACCGGUCGGCGACGCUACUGCUUUGGGUACUCUCAGGACCCGUCUUGAAACACGGACCAAGGAGUCUAACAUGUGCGCGAGUCAUUGGGAGGAAAGAAACCUAAAGGCGGAAUGAAAGUGAAGGUCGACCUUUGCGUCGACCGAGGGAGGAUCGGCCGCGUUACGAUGCGGCCCCGCACUCCCGGGGCGUCUCGUUCUCAUUGCGAGAAGAGGCGCACCUAGAGCGUACACGUUGGGACCCGAUGGUGGU